RNAcentral lists this unclassified non-coding RNA (642 nucleotides) under Hevea brasiliensis (rubber tree). The record is from RNAcentral. Lineage: Eukaryota; Viridiplantae; Streptophyta; Magnoliopsida; Malpighiales; Euphorbiaceae.
AUCACAAAUCCACAAUCCAUAAAACUUGCUGAAGGGUUGAAGUUUCACCUUUCUUUCUGUCAUGUUGAUUUUCCCUUGCGCUUCUUGCUUUGAAGCUCUGAAGAAGACCCACCAAUCCCAGAAUUAAAAUUGACUGGAACAAGGCUUCUCACACAAAUAUUUGCUGAGAUUUUUACGGGAAUCUCACUCUCAGGCUCUGGAGGAGAUCUAAAAAUUGUAACUCUUUUAGCACUUUUCUGCUCUAAAUCAUAUAAGACAGAGUAUACACCAUACUGAUCAUCCAAUAAGACUUCAUCGCCAGUUUUUGAAUAACAUAAAGGUUUCAGAUAGCUUGUAGAAAGAUCAGAAAUUCCAAGCUGCUCAUAGUAGAUCCGAAACAACUUAGUCCAAGAUUCCGUUAUUCCGUAUUCUUUCAUAACCCAUACCUCAACAGCGGUGCCCAUGCACGAACAGCUUAUAGCGAGGCUUCCUCUAAGUUCCGCCACACGUAAGCAAUAUGCUUCAUAUCCGUUAGAAUGAGGUUUUGGCAGCUCGCAGAACUUCUCAUUCCCAAGAUCAAAUGCAAGUAUCACGUUACCGACCCUUUUUUCUUGGUUACUAACCACCCAGUGCAGUGACCCACUAACAGGAACAGAGUAGCCG